Molecule: unclassified non-coding RNA, 211 nt
Filed under: Hevea brasiliensis (rubber tree)
Lineage: Eukaryota; Viridiplantae; Streptophyta; Magnoliopsida; Malpighiales; Euphorbiaceae
Source: RNAcentral
UAAAAAUGGGCGAUCCUUCUCAAUGUAGGUACAUAGUGCUUCAGCCAUCCUGAAAGAAUCAAGAGCAAAAAACAGAAGUAGGAGAAAGUUUCUUCCAUGUAAUGAAAUAGUUAAACAACCGCCAAACAUUGAUUUAAACUCAUAGCUUAACGCGCACAAAUUGUUUCAAACUGCAUUUAGCACGUAUCCGGUCUUGUUAAGGACAUCCAUG